GUCUCUUUGAGUGUUAUUAAUGAAGAGUUGGGCCUGCUCAGUGAGAAGAAAAUUUAACAGCUGCGGUAUUAUAACUGUACUAAGGUAGCAUAAUAAUUUGCCUUAUAAAUUGAGGCUAGAAUGAAUGGUUUGACGAAAAUUAGACUGUCUUUGUUUUAUUUAUUAGAAAUUAAUUUUUAUAGUGAAAAAGCUUAAAUAAUUUAAAGGGACGAGAAGACCCUAUUGAGCUUGAAUUUAUUGGUGUUUAAAUAUAAAGAUGGGCUGUUUUAUUUAUAAGAUGGUUUGUUUUAUCUUAAUUAUAUUUAAUUAAGCUAAUUUUGAUUGGGGUGAUCAAGGAAUAAGAAGGUAUAAUAACUUCCUUAGUUUUAAAAAUUUAUGGAUUAAUAAACCAAAAUUUUUGCUUAUAAGAUAAGUUACCAUAGGGGUAACAGCGUAAUUUUUUUUGAGAGUUCAUAUUGAAAAAAAAGAUUGCGACCUCGAUGUUGGAUUAAAAUUACCUUAAGGUGUAGAGGCUUUAUUGGGUAAAUCUGUUCGAUUUUUAAAAUUUU
This 548-nucleotide ribosomal RNA is filed under the name Octopus sp. 1 LD-2011. RNAcentral describes it as "partial 16S ribosomal RNA". It matches the Rfam family "Bacterial large subunit ribosomal RNA", at positions 1817 to 2597 of the family's 2925-position model. Lineage: Eukaryota; Metazoa; Mollusca; Cephalopoda; Octopoda; Octopodidae. The record is from RNAcentral.